GGAGGAAAGCAGGGGAUCGCAAGACCUUGCGCUUUUGGAGCGGCCGAUGUCUGAUUAGCUAGUUGGUGAGGUAAAGGCUUACCAAGGCGUCGAUCAGUAGCUGGUCUGAGAGGGCGACCAGCCACACUGGGACUGAGACACGGCCCAGACUCCUACGGGAGGCAGCAGUGGGGAAUUUUGGACAAUGGGGGAAACCCUGAUCCAGCCAUGCCGCGUGAGUGAAGAAGGCCUUCGGGUUGUAAAGCUCUUUCAGCCGGAACGAAACGGUCACGGCUAAUACCUGUGACUACUGACGGUACCGGAAGAAGAAGCACCGGCUAACUACGUGCCAGCAGCCGCGGUAAUACGUAGGGUGCGAGCGUUAAUCGGAAUUACUGGGCGUAAAGCGUGCGCAGGCGGUUUUGUAAGUCAGAUGUGAAAUCCCCGGGCUUAACCUGGGAACUGCGUUUGAAACUACAAAGCUAG
RNAcentral lists this ribosomal RNA (465 nucleotides) under uncultured bacterium. RNAcentral's name for it is "bacterial SSU rRNA". It matches the Rfam family "Bacterial small subunit ribosomal RNA", at positions 198 to 644 of the family's 1533-position model. The record is from RNAcentral.